This 415-nucleotide ribosomal RNA is filed under the name uncultured eukaryote. Its description in RNAcentral is "bacterial SSU rRNA". It matches the Rfam family "Eukaryotic small subunit ribosomal RNA", at positions 592 to 1013 of the family's 1831-position model. The record is from RNAcentral.
CAAUAGCGUAUAUUAAAGUUGUUGCAGUUAAAAGCUCGUAGUUGGAUCUCGGGAGCGAGCGGGCGGUCGGGCGUUCAGCCGUGCACUUCCCGCUCAUCCUACUGUCCGGUACGUGCCCUGUGCUCUUAACCGAGUGUAGGGAGCGUCUGGAGCGUUUACUUUGAAAAAAUUAGAGUGUUCAAAGCAGGCAACCGCUCUGAAUACAUUAGCAUGGAAUAACGCUAUAGGACUCUGGUCCUAUUGUGUUGGUCUUCGGGACCGGAGUAAUGAUUAAGAGGGACAGUUGGGGGCAUUCGUAUUUCAUUGUCAGAGGUGAAAUUCUUGGAUUUAUGAAAGACGAACUUCUGCGAAAGCAUUUGCCAAGGAUGUUUUCAUUAAUCAAGAACGAAAGUUGGGGGCUCGAAGAUGAUCAGAU